AGAGAUCAUGAACCAAGUGUCUGUCUUUCCCGCUGAAUCACAGCCUGGGAAAAAGGAUGCCCAAGGGUGCCUGAUGGAGCAUAUUUUGUAUAGCAUGCAAUAGUAAAAGUCAUCUUUCAGAGCAAAGUUGCUAUUGAAAAGUUGAGAAAUAUGAAAAAUGGAGGAAAUCAAGCAGGAGCUUACAAUGUAUGAGCCAAAUCAAAAGGAGGAAAGCAUUUAAAAAAAACACUGUUUCUGAGGCCUCAUGUCAAAUGUUGGCUCUACCAAAGAUGUUUUUUUUUUUCAGUUGCUCAUUAAAAAGGAUCCUACUGAAGAGAUCUUGCUCCCUGAGAAAUCAGACAUGCUGUGUGGGCAAACAUAUUAAAAAGAAAAGUAUUUCCAGAAAGAUGUGAAUGCAACAAAACAAUAAAACCUGAAGAGGUUAUUAAAAGCCACCCAGAGAAAUUGGCCACAUGAGGUGUAUUAAAAAAGACUGAGAAGCAAUCAGCAACAAGAAAUCUUCUGGGACACCAAAGCCUAAGACUGAAUGUAAUCCUGAUCACCUGCGAGCCUCUGAUCUCCCUCUCCUGGAGUCCUUGCUAUGUGGAUGAAGACAGCUGAUGGCCUUUACUCUGAUGUUUCUGCAGCUGGAGGCAUUCUCAGUGGGAAGGGCUGGCAGAUUUCAAAACAAGUUUUCCCUAUUCUCCAGUCACAUUUUUUCUCCUAAUUGCAAAGCCAGCAUAGUUUGUUUUGUUGUUUUUUGAAAUAACUGAUUCAGCCAGCCAUUAAAUCUCUUGCUCUCUGUA
Neopsephotus bourkii (Bourke's parrot) is the source of this 785-nucleotide long non-coding RNA. RefSeq lists it as uncharacterized. The record is from RefSeq and is a predicted model, not a curated record. NCBI's taxonomy places the organism in Eukaryota, Metazoa, Chordata, Aves, Psittaciformes, Psittacidae. The transcript is spliced from 2 exons.